AACUUUCAACAACGGAUCUCUUGGUUCUCACUUCGAGGAAGAGCGUAGCAAACUGCGAAAAGUAAUGCGAUUUGCAAUAUCGUGAAUCAUCGAAUUCUUGAACGCACAUUGCACCUUUUAGUUUUGCCUAAAAGGUCUGCCUGUUUGAGUGUUUUUAUCAUCAUCUCCGUCUUCACUUGUGUUCUCACUGUGUGGUGCGGGAGCUGGCUUUGCGCGCCUGGCGUGCCUGGCUUAAUUGCAUGAGAUCUGCCGCUGCAAAGCGACGCUGUCUAUUAGUUUAAUGUGGCUCUUUACGUGCCCAAGUAGUAGUUCAGCGGCGACGAGCAGCGGGUUUGGAUCUAACACACCAGCCGACCGGUCAUCACUGACCAGCCGGCCUGGCGUCUCUUUAAAAUAAACCUCAAAUCAGGUAGGAGUACCCACUGAACUUAAGCAUAUCAAUAAGCGGAGGCU
RNAcentral lists this unclassified non-coding RNA (453 nucleotides) under uncultured Ascomycota. Its description in RNAcentral is "sequence contains ITS2". The stretch from base 1 to 154 matches the Rfam family "5.8S ribosomal RNA". Lineage: Eukaryota; Fungi; Ascomycota. The record is from RNAcentral.